Molecule: ribosomal RNA, 253 nt
Filed under: uncultured bacterium
Lineage: Bacteria
Description: partial 16S ribosomal RNA
Rfam family: Bacterial small subunit ribosomal RNA
Source: RNAcentral
UACGUAGGGCGCAAGCGUUGUCCGGAAUUAUUGGGCGUAAAGAGCUCGUAGGUGGCUUGUCACGUCGGGUGUGAAAGCCCGGGGCUUAACCCCGGGUCUGCAUUCGAUACGGGCAGGCUAGAGUGUGGUAGGGGAGAUCGGAAUUCCUGGUGUAGCGGUGAAAUGCGCAGAUAACAGGAGGAACACCGGUGGCGAAGGCGGAUCUCUGGGCCAUUACUGACGCUGAGGAGCGAAAGCGUGGGGAGCGAACAGG